AGUGAACGCUGGCGGUAGACCUAACACAUGCAAGUCGAACGGCAGCACAGAGGAGCUUGCUCCUUGGGUGGCGAGUGGCGGACGGGUGAGGAAUACAUCGGAAUCUACUCUGUCGUGGGGGAUAACGUAGGGAAACUUACGCUAAUACCGCAUACGACCUACGGGUGAAAGCAGGGGACCUUCGGGCCUUGCGCGAUUGAAUGAGCCGAUGUCGGAUUAGCUAGUUGGCGGGGUAAAGGCCCACCAAGGCGACGAUCCGUAGCUGGUCUGAGAGGAUGAUCAGCCACACUGGAACUGAGACACGGUCCAGACUCCUACGGGAGGCAGCAGUGGGGAAUAUUGGACAAUGGGCGCAAGCCUGAUCCAGCCAUACCGCGUGGGUGAAGAAGGCCUUCGGGUUGUAAAGCCCUUUUGUUAGGAAAGAAAUCCAGCUGGCUAAUACCCGGUUGGGAUGACGGUACCCAAAGAAUAAGCACCGGCUAACUUCGUGCCAGCCGCCGCGGUAA
This 506-nucleotide ribosomal RNA is filed under the name uncultured bacterium. RNAcentral describes it as "partial 16S ribosomal RNA". It matches the Rfam family "Bacterial small subunit ribosomal RNA", at positions 29 to 523 of the family's 1533-position model. The record is from RNAcentral.